This is a ribosomal RNA of 1008 nucleotides. It matches the Rfam family "Bacterial small subunit ribosomal RNA", at positions 45 to 1064 of the family's 1533-position model.
UGCUUACACAUGCAGUCGAACGAUGAAGCCCAGCUUGCUGGGUGGAUUAGUGGCGAACGGGUGAGUAACACGUGAGUAACCUGCCCUUAACUCUGGGAUAAGCCUGGGAAACUGGGUCUAAUACCGGAUAGGAGCGUCCACCGCAUGGUGGGUGUUGGAAAGAUUUAUCGGUUUUGGAUGGACUCGCGGCCUAUCAGCUUGUUGGUGAGGUAAUGGCUCACCAAGGCGACGACGGGUAGCCGGCCUGAGAGGGUGACCGGCCACACUGGGACUGAGACACGGCCCAGACUCCUACGGGAGGCAGCAGUGGGGAAUAUUGCACAAUGGGCGCAAGCCUGAUGCAGCGACGCCGCGUGAGGGAUGACGGCCUUCGGGUUGUAAACCUCUUUCAGUAGGGAAGAAGCGAAAGUGACGGUACCUGCAGAAGAAGCACCGGCUAACUACGUGCCAGCAGCCGCGGUAAUACGUAGGGUGCGAGCGUUAUCCGGAAUUAUUGGGCGUAAAGAGCUCGUAGGCGGUUUGUCGCGUCUGUCGUGAAAGUCCGGGGCUUAACCCCGGAUCUGCGGUGGGUACGGGCAGACUAGAGUGCAGUAGGGGAGACUGGAAUUCCUGGUGUAGCGGUGGAAUGCGCAGAUAUCAGGAGGAACACCGAUGGCGAAGGCAGGUCUCUGGGCUGUAACUGACGCUGAGGAGCGAAAGCAUGGGGAGCGAACAGGAUUAGAUACCCUGGUAGUCCAUGCCGUAAACGUUGGGCACUAGGUGUGGGGACCAUUCCACGGUUUCCGCGCCGCAGCUAACGCAUUAAGUGCCCCGCCCUGGGGAGUACGGCCGCAAGGCUAAAACUCAAAGGAAUUGACGGGGGCCCGCACAAGCGGCGGAGCAUGCGGAUUAAUUCGAUGCAACGCGAAGAACCUUACCAAGGCUUGACAUGUUCUCGAUCGCCGUAGAGAUACGGUUUCCUCUUUGGGGCGGGUUCACAGGUGGGUGCAUGGUUGUCGUCAGCUCGUG